AGUUCCACUGUUGGAUGGCCCUGACCACAUCACUGCAUCAUGGAUAGCAACCUCAUGGAAACUGUCGUGGAGUCUUAAUUUCAAUUAUUUUAUUUCCUACAUAUGGUUACACAAGCAAGAUGACUUGAAUUCAUAUCUCCAGAACCAACAGAAGUGUUGAGUGAAUGUGGGGGACUCACCUUCAUUCCAGGCAGCUUCACGUGGUAGAGACAUGACUCCUGGAGAAUCUCGUUAACAUGACUAAACAUUCUGAAAAGAUGUCCUGUACCCUGAUUUGUGAUGAACUGCAUCAGCUGUGCUAUGGUCUCUUUGCAGCUCAACCCACGUUCUUCCCUCGGCUGCUUCACAUAAUCCCUACAAAACCUUUGGAAACUCCUGUUAUCUUAUGAAAACAUUCUGUAGUUGCAGCCACAGAAAUGGGGCAAUUUGUAUGGUUUCAUCAUACAAAGCCAUUUAAUUUGUCCUAGUUUUCAAAUGACACAACCUAUAGAAUGUGUUUUCUAACAUGCAACAUUCUAUAGAAACCAUGCUUCGGUUUAUUUCAGUGAGAAAUGGGAUAGUAAAAGAAACUACCAUUCUCAAAACCACACAGGCAAGUCUACAAGCAAGUUUCCGAGUUUUACAGAUCCCUGUUCUUGACAAUUUGAAAGCAGGUUUGGAGAAAGGCAACACAGAAUUAGAUAGGCAUGUCUUGGUUCCCUGCUGAAAGAGCUGCAGGGAGUGACAGACCUUCAGGAGGUGGAGCCUCGCUGAGGACAUAGGGUAUAUGGGGAGGGUCUAAAGUUUCUAGCUGAGCUUUCCUGCCUGUGCUCUACUUCCUGACUGCAAUAAAACUAAGUAAGCCACAUUUUUGUUCUAUGCCUUUCCCACCACAACCAAGAGUUUCUCUUCCUAAAGCACAAGUCAAAAUAAAUCCCUUAAAUUGUA
This is a long non-coding RNA of Mastomys coucha (southern multimammate mouse), 927 nucleotides long. RefSeq lists it as uncharacterized. Lineage: Eukaryota; Metazoa; Chordata; Mammalia; Rodentia; Muridae. The transcript has 3 exons. The record is from RefSeq and is a predicted model, not a curated record.